Long non-coding RNA from Vicia villosa (hairy vetch), 576 nucleotides. RefSeq lists it as uncharacterized. Lineage: Eukaryota; Viridiplantae; Streptophyta; Magnoliopsida; Fabales; Fabaceae. The transcript is spliced from 2 exons. The record is from RefSeq and is a predicted model, not a curated record.
CCCUCCCUUUUAUUUUCAUUACUCGUUCCGCCUCCUUCUCUCUCGCUCAUAUGAAACAGAGCAAGAGAAACACUCUCAACCCUCAACUCUCGAUUUGUCUCUCUCUCUCUCUCUCUCUCUCUCUCUCGCACGAAUCUCUCACACUCGCGGUUCAAACAACAACGUCAAACAUAGCAAACAAUAUCGAUACCCUUAUCCCCACAAAACCCUAAAUCCCCAAUAUCACUCUGUUCAUAUUGUUACAUAUAAAAGGCAAGAGCUAUAAUUUAAACAAGAAUGAAAAGCCUGUACCGAGCAACAAUGAAAGAAAGCUCCAAUGGAUUUACCGAAUAACGAUGACUCCGACGAUAGCUUCAAGGUCUUAUGCAGCGUGGAACAAGGCCUUUGCAAAUGAGCAUGGAAGAUGUUUGGAGAAUUGAAAUUUUGAGGGCUAAGAUUAGAUUAUCAUGAAAUCUCUUGUAAUCCCUUUGUUAUAGUACUUCAAAAAUGAAGCACCAUAAUAUCUUGUAACUAUAUUUAAUAAACCUUGGAUGGUAAUUGAUGACAUAUUUGAAUGCAACUUGAAAAUUUGAAUAA